This 1374-nucleotide ribosomal RNA is filed under the name uncultured bacterium. RNAcentral's name for it is "bacterial SSU rRNA". It matches the Rfam family "Bacterial small subunit ribosomal RNA". The record is from RNAcentral.
AGAGUUUGAUGCCUGGCUCAGGACGAACGCUGGCGGCGUGCCUAAUGCAUGCAAGUCGUACGCUUGUAAAAGCGUGGCGAACGGGUGAGUAACGCGUAGACAACCUACCCCAAACCGGGAACUACCCCCGCGAAAGCGGGGUUAAUGUCCCAUGAGGUGUCAGCUUGAAAUAGCUGCCAUCAAAGCUCCGGCGGUAUGGGAGGGGUCUGCGUCCUAUCAGCUUGUUGGCGGGGUAAUUGCCCACCAAGGCGAUGACGGGUAGCUGGUCUGAGAGGAUGGACAGCCACACUGGGACUGCGACACGGCCCAGACUCCUACGGGAGGCAGCAGCAGGGAAUCGUUGGCAAUGGACGAAAGUCUGACCACGCGACGCCGCGUGAAGGAAGAAGGCCUUCGGGUUGUAAACUUCUUUUAUGAGGGACGAUGAUGACGGUACCUCAUGAAUAAGCACCUGCUAACCACGUGCCAGCAGCCGCGGUAAGACGUGGGGUGCAAGCGUUGUCCGGAGUGACUGGGCGUGAAGGGCGUGUAGGCGGUCUUGUGAGUCUUCUUUGAAAGCCAUGGGCUCAACCCAUGAUUCGGAGGAGAUACUGCGAGGCUAGACGGUACCAGGGGCAGAUGGAAUUCCCGGUGGAGGAGUAAAAUCCGUUGAGAUCGGGAGGAACACCAGUGGCGAAGGCGAUCUGCUAGGGUACUCGUGACGCUGAGGCGCGACAGUCUGGGGAGCGAAAGGGAUUAGAUACCCCUGUAGUCCAGACCGUAAACGAUGCACUCUAGGCAUUGGGAGUAUCGACCCUCCCUGUACCGUAGCUAACGCGUUAAGAGUGCCGCCUGGGAAGUACGGUCGCAAGACUAAAACUCAAAGGAAUUGGCGGAGGCUCGCACAAGCGGUGGAGCAUGUGGUUUAAUUCGACGACAAACGAAGAACCUUACCCAGUCUUGACAUCUCUGGAAUCUGCCAGAAACGGUGGAGUGCCCGCAAGGGAGCCAGAAGACAGGUGCUGCACGGUCGUCGUCAGCUCGUGCCGUGAGGUGUUUCCUUCAGUGGAGCAACGAGCGCAACCCUCAGCUCAUGUUGCAUAUUCAUGAGCGACUGCGGCGGUAACGCCGAGGAAGGUGGGGAUGACGUCAGAUCAGCGUGGCUCUUACGAUUGGGGCUACACACGUGCUACAAUGCCACAGACAAAGGGUUUGCCAAGCCGCAAGGCGGAGCGAAUCCCAUCAAAAUGUGGCGCAGUUCGGAUUGCAGGCUGCAACUCGCCUGCAUGAAGCCGGAAUCGCUAGUAACCGUGGGUCAGCCAUACCACGGUGAAUACGUUCUCGAGCCUUGCACACACCGCCCGUCAAGCCAGCCGAGUCGGCAACGCCUGAAGC